UGCGCCUUGCCAGCCCGCUCAGAAACUUAAAGGAAUUGACGGGGCCCGCACAAGCGGAGGAGCAUGUGGUUUAAUUCGAUGAUACGCGAGGAACCUUACCUGGGCUCGAACGUAAGAUGACUGUAGGUGAAAGCUUACAUCUCUUCGGAGCAUUUUACGAGGUGCUGCAUGGUUGUCGUCAGCUCGUGCCGUGAGGUGUCGGGUUAAGUCCCAUAACGAGCGCAACCCCUACCUUUAGUUGCCAUCAGGUUAAGCUGGGGACUCUAAAGGAACUGCCUACGCAAGUAGUGAGGAAGGCGGGGAUGACGUCAAAUCAGCACGGCCCUUACGUCCAGGGCUACACACGUGCUACAAUGGCCGAUACAGAGGGCAGCUACCUGGUGACAGGAUGCAAAUCUCCAAAGUCGGUCUCAGUUCGGAUCGGAGUCUGCAACCCGACUCCGUGAAGUCGGAAUCGCUAGUAAUCGUGAAUCAGAAUGUCACGGUGAAUACGUUCCCGGGCCUU
This 505-nucleotide ribosomal RNA is filed under the name uncultured Sphingobacteriales bacterium. Its description in RNAcentral is "bacterial SSU rRNA". It matches the Rfam family "Bacterial small subunit ribosomal RNA", at positions 903 to 1382 of the family's 1533-position model. The record is from RNAcentral. Lineage: Bacteria; Pseudomonadati; Bacteroidota; Sphingobacteriia; Sphingobacteriales.